Molecule: ribosomal RNA, 253 nt
Filed under: uncultured bacterium
Lineage: Bacteria
Description: partial 16S ribosomal RNA
Rfam family: Bacterial small subunit ribosomal RNA
Source: RNAcentral
UACGGAGGGGGCUAGCGUUGUUCGGAAUUACUGGGCGUAAAGCGCACGUAGGCGGCUUUGUAAGUUAGAGGUGAAAGCCCAGGGCUUAACCCUGGAAUUGCCUUUAAGACUGCAUCGCUAGAAUCGUGGAGAGGUGAGUGGAAUUCCGAGUGUAGAGGUGAAAUUCGUAGAUAUUGGGAAGAACACCGGUGGCGAAGGCGGCUCACUGGCUCGUAACUGACGCUCAUGCACGACAGCGUGGGGAUCAGACAGG